Molecule: ribosomal RNA, 485 nt
Filed under: uncultured bacterium
Lineage: Bacteria
Description: partial 16S ribosomal RNA
Rfam family: Bacterial small subunit ribosomal RNA
Source: RNAcentral
AUUGAACGCUGGCGGCAUGCCUUACACAUGCAAGUCGAACGGCAGCACGGGUGCUUGCACCUGGUGGCGAGUGGCGAACGGGUGAGUAAUACAUCGGAACAUGUCCUGUAGUGGGGGAUAGCCCGGCGAAAGCCGGAUUAAUACCGCAUACGAUCUACGGAUGAAAGCGGGGGACCUUCGGGCCUCGCGCUAUAGGGUUGGCCGAUGGCUGAUUAGCUAGUUGGUGGGGUAAAGGCCUACCAAGGCGACGAUCAGUAGCUGGUCUGAGAGGACGACCAGCCACACUGGGACUGAGACACGGCCCAGACUCCUACGGGAGGCAGCAGUGGGGAAUUUUGGACAAUGGGCGAAAGCCUGAUCCAGCAAUGCCGCGUGUGUGAAGAAGGCCUUCGGGUUGUAAGCACUUUUGUCCGGAAAGAAAUCCUUGGCCCUAAUACGGUCGGGGGAUGACGGUACCGGAAGAAUAAGCACCGGCUAACUACGUG